Long non-coding RNA from Cyprinus carpio (common carp), 1152 nucleotides. Lineage: Eukaryota; Metazoa; Chordata; Actinopteri; Cypriniformes; Cyprinidae. The record is from Ensembl.
GCAGGUGAGAUGUUGAAUUCCACAGGUGUGCUUUAUCUAAGCCCUACUGUUCUCCAGGUGUGUCUUGAACACAUUUCUUUGAUAUGAAUUAAGGAGGGGUGACAUGAGGAUAGGUGAGUAGGGGAACAUGGGCUCCAUGGCUGAAAUAUUUAGAUUGCUACAUUAUCCUUAAAUUACCCCAUUAGAGGUCCCUGCAUGCCAUUAAGUUGUUAAAGUUCUGUCCCACUGCUAAACCUUGACCAAGAGCGUGUGGUAAGUAGAAUCACCAUUUCAUCUUUCCUUAUAACCCCAAUCUAUCUCUUGUCGGAGUGGGUAUAUCUUUUCCAUUGUGUAAACCUGAACUGAGUCAUUUUGUUUCCAUUGAGUCUCCAGCUGAGUUAAUGUGACCCUUACCUGGGGAGUCGGCACGAGACCUAGUUUGACUUGCCCUACAAUGGCCAACUCAACUGAAGAAAAGCAGAAAAAACAGUUCCCACAGUCUUUGCGGUGAGUGACGCUACAACCCUGACCAAGCCAUCACCACCUCCCCUGCUGGAGCCAAAACAGACUCCUAUUGAUGAAGGAAAAUGGAAACCCCUCAUCAUGAAGCACUGGAGCUCUUGAGUUUGAGAUGAACGCACUGGAGGAAACCCUGAGGGAAUGAUUAAUUAAAUGAACCCUACAUGCCUCAAUUCAAGCCCUGCGAGAAGACAGAACUUGAGUGCAUAUUUUCUGUUUAACACCCAGCACGUCUCACAGCUUAAACAGUAUUUCUCUGGAAAUCUCAAUGGAUUUUUCUUUGGAGUUGAGUUUCCUGUAUUUAGACAGAGAAGAGAAGAACAUGUGCUUUGGAUGGUCUGGAUGUGUAAUGUACUGUUACCUGUGAAAGGCCACUAACUAUUCAGGAACAAACCCUAACAUCUCAAGCCAGUUCGAAUUACCGCCUCAGAAUUUAUAGUGGCUAAAAGCCACUCCCUCUAAGCUGGAUCCUGUGUAGGCGAUAUUGGGUUGCCAUUGAAAUUGUUUUAUCAGUUCCUCCGGAAUUCGGCCAGCAUGGGAGUAUAGCAUAAAUCUGCAGCGAUUCGAGCCCUUCCUCUGAAGUCCUCAGGAAUUCGUUUUGUCAGGCCUGGUUUGGGAGAGUGAGAUAAAUGAGUACCCAGGGCAGCCUAGCAC